This is a non-coding RNA of Meleagris gallopavo (turkey), 3892 nucleotides long. NCBI's taxonomy places the organism in Eukaryota, Metazoa, Chordata, Aves, Galliformes, Phasianidae. The record is from RefSeq and is a predicted model, not a curated record.
CAGUACUGCUAAGUCUCACAAGUUGUAUUUCUUGUACUUGGCUGUGUUUGCUGUCUGCCAGGUUCUGGAGUUCAUAUCUGACAACUGGAAUGAGAAUUGUGUAAGCCUGGAUUGGUGGAACAGGCAUGGAUCAUAUAAGAAGAAGAUGAUAGGUAGCAAUGAAUCCUCUACUGAAGGACCAGUGCCUACGUCCUACUUAACCUUCCUGGCUUACUUACUGGGACAAUGGACUGGUGUAGAACACACUGAAGAUUAUCUGAGUUAUGGAGUCUACCUUUCAUGGGUGCUUUUUCCACUUGCAAUAGCUUUUAUACUUCCAGUAGCUAUCUUCUUCUUCUGCCUCAACACUUCCCUUCUCCUUCUUCAUAUUCAUAAAAGGAGGAAGACUGGAUUUAAUGAAGGACAUUCUGGUGAUGUUUGGUAUGGUGCAAAAGAAAUGUUGGCUAACCUGUGGGAUGGACAUGGGAGAAUAUGGCAUGGUUAUGAACUUCAUGGGGAUGAAAAUAUUCCGGAAGGACCAGCACUUAUUGUGUUUUAUCAUGGAGCUAGUCCUGUUGACUAUCUCUAUUUCAUGGCUAGACUUCUUAUACGAAGGAAGAGAUAUUGCCACGUAGUAGCGGAUCAUUUCGUCUUUAGAUUACCAGGUUUAAAAACGUUUAUUGAAGUACUUGGCGUUAUGCAUGGACCAAAAGAAGUAUGUGUCAGUGCUCUGAAGAAAGGCUACCUGUUAGCUAUUUCUCCAGGUGGAGUUCGAGAAGCUCUCUUUAGUGAUGAAACAUAUGCUAUUAUGUGGGGUAAUCGAAAGGGCUUUGCCCAGGUGGCCAUCGAUGCAAAAGUGCCCAUCAUUCCUAUGUUUACACAAAAUGUUCGAGAAGGCAUUAGGACAUUAGGAGGAAUAAAAAUACUUAGGAAGCUGUAUGAACGUAUUAGAUUGCCAGUUGUUCCUAUGUAUGGCUGGUUUCCAGUCAAGCUUCGUACGUUUAUUGGAGAACCCAUUCCGUAUGAUCCAAAUAUAACUGCUGAGGAACUGACUGCGAAGACAAAAGCAGCACUCCAGGCUCUAAUAGCCAAACAUCAGAAAAUACCAGGAAAUAUACUGAGGGCUUUAAUGGAACGAUUUCAAACACGACAGAAAGAAGACUAAGGUCUUCUGAGGGAAUUCAUACCGGACUGGAAAUACAUUGCAGUGACUUCUCAGCCAAAGCUCAGGGAGGGGUGUGUCAUACCCAGAUCAUCAGCCCAUUUCACCAUGUAAACCAAGGCACACACUGGUUUGGACUGCUUCAGAUCAUGGAUAAACAUUCCCACAGCGCAACGUGCCUUUGUACAGUUCCAUUGGGUUGAGUGGCAGGUAAUGAAUGAAGACCAUCACCAGUGCUCACGUGCUCAGCAGGAGACACAAGAAACUUUCAGAUAUGAUGAUAAGUGAAGUGACAUAUCAAAGUCUGAGAAUUUGCAUGUCAGCACAAAAGACCCUGAGAUGAAGCUGGGGGCAAACGCUGACACAGGAUACCUACCAGACCACUCUGACCAACCAGAGGAACUGAUCUGUGGGGCAAGUUUCCUGCUGCUAUCAAGACGUUGGUAGGACACUCCUGAGACCUCUAGCCAAAUGCCACAUAGGCACAAGGUAACCUCGUGGCAUCUUUCCCACACUGCGCCGGCAUGGAGGGCUGGAAUCAAAAUCACUGUGAGAAGCUGACAGCAUUUGAAGUGAAGUCUCAGAUGUAACAGAUGGCAAGCACAGCCCCAAGCAAAAACAGAUUCCCAAAGGAAAGCACAAAAACAAAUACCAAACGGGCCUUUAAAGUAAAUGAAUAAACAAACAAACAAACAAAAAGAGAAAACCUUAAAGGGAAAUUCUUGGAAAAGUUACAAAAUCAUCUGAGAGAAAAGAAAGAUGGGUAGGAACAAAUGUGCAAUAAGGAAAGUGUGCUUUGCGUAAUGCUGCCCACUCCAUCUGAAGGAGCCUCCAGAUGUUCCGUGUUAUUCUCAUGUGACUGCGAGUUGUGAAAUAGCUGGUGUGCUGCAAAGUGAGAAAAUCAACGCUGUGUUCUAGGCAGCCUCUGAUAUCAGGGGAACAGCAGAAUUACUUAUUUGGUAAAAUCUGCUUCAGAGCAAGUUUCAGAAUUAGCUCAUCACUCACAACAACACCUUUUACAAGUCGAUGUGAGUUGUCUCCUCGGGAAAAAGCAGCUGGCAGAUGCAGCAGUCAAAACCUAUUUUUCCAAAAGCAGCCUCUAAUCUGAACAUAGAGACACUGUGAGUAUUCAGUCUGAAAAACAAGGGCUGCAUUUUUCAGAGCUGCUGAGCAUUGCUGGGUGCUGUCUAAGAGUGCUGGAACUGCAAGCCCUGACCACCCUCCAGAAUGAUGCCAGAGCAAGCUCCAGCUGAACCACUCAUACCCCACAGACAUCAUUGCCCAGUGACUUUUUGUUGCUGACUGCAGGUGGAAACAAGCAUCCCUCCUGUGCACGUUGCAAGCCCAGAGCCUCAAUGACAAUCUAAGUCAGAAAUAGAUGGAGACAACCAACAGGAAACGCAGAUGCUUCUGGCACCAGGCCCAUGCUCAGACAACCUUCCCCUUAAUUUUAUUGAGACUUUUUUUUUUUUUGGUGCAGCAGUGGAAUUGAUCAAAUUCCAAGUCUGUACUAACUUUAGAGAUACCAAAAAUUUAAAAUCAAUAUAAGGUUAGCUUGCUUAAAACUUUGGGACUGCUUGGAGAAGAAUCGCGGGAGUCCAUAUAUCAGUAAUAAUCCGUUUGCUCACUUUCCUUAUUUAUAAUAAUAGAGUACAUAAGCUUAUCCUUCCACGUUUUGAGACAAUAUUGUUGAAUUGCUGUCUCUCUCUGAGCUGAUCUGCUUGGUUAACAAUGCACAUAUGGCAGUAGCACAAUGGUUGGUAACACUUACUGUGCUUAUUGGUGUGCUCAGGGCAGUACAGCUUAUGCUCACAGCACUUAAUUAGAACCUGACUGAAAAGAAAUGGCUUGAUUGCUGGAAGACCCACUAGGUAUAAGUCUUCAGUUUUGUAUAUAGUAUCCUAUGAAUGAGAAAUCUUUCCAAGUGGGAAAAAUUGAGUGCUUAAGAAUGAAUGCAAAGUCUACAAUAUGCAUGAGCAGGUGUGUCUGACCACAGGUCUGAACUGCUGCCACAGCAAACAAACUGUACAAUAUAGCACUUUCCUAUUUUUCUGUCUCAUUUCUACAGCACAGAAUUUAGUGAAGAGAUGUGUUUUAUAACUGUGCAGUACACAGGAAAAGAACUGUCCAUCUCUGUUCAGCCUGUCCAAGAUUCCCAUUGCGGUGGUAGGAAGAUACAGCUCCCUCCCAUACAAACGGGUCUGUGUGUACUUUCUGAGCUAUGUUAACUGAGUGAAUGUAGUGUUAAUUACAUAUGAACUAAGUAGGGAAAAAACAUACUUGGAUAAUUUUGCCAAGGCACUUGGGGCUUUUAUUACCAAGUCUCUAUAUUUAGUUUAUCAGCAUGUUUUUCUACAGGAACCACAGCCAUUUUUCUCUCUCUCUCUUUUUUUUUUUAAAGUCAGGGGAGGUGAGAACUGCUCUGAAUUAGCACUGUUCAAGCAGCCUGUAAAAAAUUCUCUACUUCUUUCCUUUGUUAAGAAUCUAUUUAAAAUGUCUGCUAUCAUUGUUUAGCUUAAAAAGAAACUGCUUUGCUUCUUACAUCUCACAAGCUUACAUUAAAAGCAUCCAGGAGAAGGCUUUUGCAUCAGUGGUCAAUAAUGUGCCUAAAAAAUAUGUCAAUUCAAUCCCUUUUACCCCAGGGUAUGUAGUCCCACACCAUGGCAGCUACUCACCCACUUAAUGCUCCUUUACCUUUACCACCAAUUAUAAAAUUAUGGGAUAUCAUCAAAUGAACUUUCCAGUAUCCAA